Long non-coding RNA from Polistes canadensis, 1256 nucleotides. RefSeq lists it as uncharacterized. The record is from RefSeq and is a predicted model, not a curated record. The transcript has 2 exons. Lineage: Eukaryota; Metazoa; Arthropoda; Insecta; Hymenoptera; Vespidae.
AGUGUUCUUAACACAAAAUACACGACGACAUGACAUCCGUCUUUAGGAUUCGGUGUUAAAUGUGAAUUUCAAAUGAUUACGCGUUAUACAUGGAUCGAAAAUGUUUUUAGAACAAGAAGAACAUUUUCCAAGGGAAACUCGUGCUGGAAUGUAUAUUAAUCCUAUUGGAAAAACAACGAAAAUCGUUCUAACGAAAAAAUUGAAUCAAUUUCAAAAAAACUUUUUCCGGAGAAAGGAUUGUUAAAAUUUUCGAAGAAAACGAUGAUGGACGACGAGGCAUCUAUUUUUUGGGCAUCUAUCUUGAUGGUCUGUGGUUCUGUGAUGAUGGUGAUAUUACUCACAUGCUAUAUUUGUCUCUUUCGAGAUUUGUGUUGUCCAGCCGGGGGGGAUAGCACUAAAAGAAGACGGACCAUUCGUCGUAAUACUAUGCAAGUUACUGAAGAAAACAAUCUGCAAAAAUUUGACGAAAUACCUAUGAACGAAAUAACUCAAGGUGAUAGCAGCAUGCCCACGGAAUCCGAAAAAUUUUAAAAACUGAUCUAAACUUUAUACGUGUUCUCUCUCAUUGUCAAUUCUCGUUGUUAACUUAUUGUUCAUCGACGAAGUUGAUUUUGUAUCGCUUUUAGCGGAAGAAAGGAAAAAUGAGAUAAAGAAGAAAAACAACAAUAAAAUAUUCGAAGAAGCGAAAGAAAUAACAUAAACAAAAUAACAAAAAAAAAACAUCGUCCUUCGAAAUUAUUAAUCGAACAAAACAACGACGAAUUUUUACAUUGUGCUGUGUGGACUUUAGUGUUUAUAAGAGUCUCUGAGGUAUUAAAUUUUAUUCCAAGCUGCGAUCUCAUAGAUCUUUCUUUUUUUUUUUUUAUGUAUGUAUGUACAUGCUUAGAUAUACAUCGAUAUACAUAUGUCGUGUCUAAUUGUACAUAUACACGAGAAUGUAUACGACACGCACGCGUUCGCGUGUUUGUAUUGUGUGUAUGUAUAAAUGUAUUUCAAUAAUUAUGUAAAUAUAUAUGUGUGUAUGUAUUUACGUAUGAUGUGUGAAUGUAUGUAUAUAUGUAUAUAUGCAAGUAUGUUUAUCGAAUAAUAGAAAAAUCUGAUAAAAAUAUUCAAUACGUCAUCUUUUACGCGCGACCGAUGAUAACAACGUGGGAUUUAUAUUUUUCUUUUCUUUUUUUCUGUUCUUGCACCAGAAAUCACAAAAUAGUCCUUAAUCUCUUCUAUGCUUAUCAUCGUAUAUAAAAUAUAUCUCUAUG